GAUGGGAGUAACUAUGAAUCUCUUAAGGUAGCCAGAUGCAUCAUCAUCUAAUUAGUGAUGUGCAUGAAUGGAUUAAUGAGAUUCCCACUGUCCCAAGCUAAUAUCUAGAGAAACCAAAACUAAGGAACGAGAUUGGAAAAAUUAGCGGGGAAAGACGACCCUGUUGAGCUUAACUCUAGUCCAACUUUGUGAAAUGACUUGAGAGGUGUAGAAUAAGUGGAAUUUGUUUUCAACGCAAGUGAAAUACCACUAAUUUUAACGUCAUUUUACUUAUUUUGUGGGGCAGAGACGAGGCAUUUCACAUAUGUUAAAAGAUAAUGCACAUUUCCUCAAAGUGUUGUCUUUGAUGGAAAUGGUUGAAAGCUCAUUCUUCACACGCUUGAUUGCAAUGAGUUUAGGAAACCAAAGAGGAUCAUUGCUUUUAAUGAUGAAGAAAAUUCCUAUAACAAUCCCUAUUUUUUUAGCCAACACCCCCCU
Molecule: non-coding RNA, 477 nt
Organism: Picea glauca (white spruce)
Lineage: Eukaryota; Viridiplantae; Streptophyta; Pinopsida; Pinales; Pinaceae
Source: Rfam